Molecule: ribosomal RNA, 948 nt
Filed under: Paeniglutamicibacter sulfureus
Lineage: Bacteria; Bacillati; Actinomycetota; Actinomycetes; Micrococcales; Micrococcaceae
Description: bacterial SSU rRNA
Rfam family: Bacterial small subunit ribosomal RNA
Source: RNAcentral
GGGGGGCAGAGCGCUAACUGCAGUCGAAGAUGACUUUUGUGCUUGCCAGAAUGAUUAGUGGCGAACGGGUGAGUAACACGUGAGUAACCUGCCCUUGACUUCGGGAUAAGCCUGGGAAACUGGGUCUAAUACCGGAUAUGCACCGUGGACCGCAUGGUUCUUGGUGGAAAGAUUUUUUGGUCAGGGAUGGACUCGCGGCCUAUCAGCUUGUUGGUGAGGUAAUGGCUCACCAAGGCGACGACGGGUAGCCGGCCUGAGAGGGUGACCGGCCACACUGGGACUGAGACACGGCCCAGACUCCUACGGGAGGCAGCAGUGGGGAAUAUUGCACAAUGGGCGAAAGCCUGAUGCAGCGACGCCGCGUGAGGGAUGACGGCCUUCGGGUUGUAAACCUCUUUCAGUAGGGAAGAAGCGAAAGUGACGGUACCUGCAGAAGAAGCGCCGGCUAACUACGUGCCAGCAGCCGCGGUAAUACGUAGGGCGCAAGCGUUAUCCGGAAUUAUUGGGCGUAAAGAGCUCGUAGGCGGUUUGUCGCGUCUAUCGUGAAAGUCCGAGGCUCAACCUCGGAUCUGCGGUGGGUACGGGCAGACUAGAGUGAUGUAGGGGAGACUGGAAUUCCUGGUGUAGCGGUGAAAUGCGCAGAUAUCAGGAGGAACACCGAUGGCGAAGGCAGGUCUCUGGGCAUUAACUGACGCUGAGGAGCGAAAGCAUGGGGAGCGAACAGGAUUAGAUACCCUGGUAGUCCAUGCCGNUAACGUUGGGCACUAGGUGUGGGGGACAUUCCACGUUUUCUGCGCCGUAGCUAACGCAUUAAAUGCCCCCCCUGGGGAGUACGGCCCCAAGGCUAAAACUCAAAGGGAAUGACGGGGGGCCCGCACAACCGCCGAGCAUGCGGAUUUAUUCGAUGCAACGCGAAGAAACCUUACAAAGCUUUACAUGUGCCAGACC